CUGGGGCACAAUGGUUAAGUGCUCAGCUGCUAACUGAAAGGUUGGUGGUUCAAACCCACCCAG
This is a transfer RNA of Loxodonta africana (African savanna elephant), 63 nucleotides long. It matches the Rfam family "tRNA", at positions 5 to 66 of the family's 71-position model. Rfam says of the family: Transfer RNA (tRNA) molecules are approximately 80 nucleotides in length. Their secondary structure includes four short double-helical elements and three loops (D, anti-codon, and T loops). NCBI's taxonomy places the organism in Eukaryota, Metazoa, Chordata, Mammalia, Proboscidea, Elephantidae. The record is from Rfam.